CCGAUGGCCCGCGCAAGCGGGAUCAGGUAAGGGUGAAAGGGUGCGGUAAGAGCGCACCGCGCGGCUGGUAACAGUCCGUGGCACGGUAAACUCCACCCGGAGCAAGGCCAAAUAGGGGUUCAUAAGGUACGGCCCGUACUGAACCCGGGUAGGCUGCUUGAGCCAGUGAGCGAUUGCUGGCCUAGAUGAAUGACUGUCCACGACAGAACCCGGCUUAUCGGUCAGUUUCACCU
Molecule: RNase P RNA, 233 nt
Filed under: Escherichia coli
Lineage: Bacteria; Pseudomonadati; Pseudomonadota; Gammaproteobacteria; Enterobacterales; Enterobacteriaceae
Also listed under: 1 other name
Description: partial RNase P RNA component class A
Rfam family: Bacterial RNase P class A
About the family: Ribonuclease P (RNase P) is a ubiquitous endoribonuclease, found in archaea, bacteria and eukarya as well as chloroplasts and mitochondria. Its best characterised activity is the generation of mature 5'-ends of tRNAs by cleaving the 5'-leader elements of precursor-tRNAs.
Source: RNAcentral